UAGCGGUGUUAGGGCACUAAGAAUUUUGAUUUCUUAAGAGAGGUUCACUAUCCUCCUGA
This 59-nucleotide transfer RNA is filed under the name Conus textile (cloth-of-gold cone). Its description in RNAcentral is "tRNA-Gln". Lineage: Eukaryota; Metazoa; Mollusca; Gastropoda; Neogastropoda; Conidae. The record is from RNAcentral.